AUGUCUCCAUUCCUGGCCCCACAGAACCGAAGGAAUUAUUUCAUAAUUCUCAUUUUCCUGCUUUUUUCCCCUUUCCUCCUCCUGUUCCCAGAGGAACGCGACCGGAAGAUCACCAAACUUGCUGCUGAAAUCCGAAGAUUCACGGCGCUGCUGGCCGAGCGCGACUCCGGGCUCCGGAAGCUGCAGGCAGAGCUGGGUGAGCGAUGAGGAGAAGUGGGAAAACGAGCCAGAACAGCGAUUUUUAUCGUUUUUUAUUUUUAUUUUAACUCUGGUUCUUGCCUGGAUUUUAAACUUCAAUUCCUUUUCCCUCAGCCAAGUGCGACGCCACCAUCCGUGA
RNAcentral lists this long non-coding RNA (337 nucleotides) under Parus major (Great Tit). RNAcentral's name for it is "lncRNA (ENSPMJG00000002806.1)". Lineage: Eukaryota; Metazoa; Chordata; Aves; Passeriformes; Paridae. The record is from RNAcentral.